UCGGCAGAUGCCGCCUGGUCCAGCUAUCGUGCUCGGUAUUCAGUUUUCCGGAGCAGCGCUCUUUCUCUGGCCCGCGGAGCGGUCCCGCGGCCGAGUACCGGAUUCCCGAGUUUGGGAGGCUCUGCUUUCCUCCUUAGGACCCACUUUGCCGUCCUGGGGUGGCUGCAGUUAUGUCCGCGCUGCGACCUCUCCUGCUUCUGCUGCUGCCUCUGUGUCCCGGUCCUGGUCCCGGACCCGGGAGCGAGGCAAAGGUCACCCGGAGUUGUGCAGAGACCCGGCAGGUGCUGGGGGCCCGGGGAUAUAGCUUAAACCUAAUCCCUCCCGCCCUGAUCUCAGGUGAGCACCUCCGGGUCUGUCCCCAGGAGUACACCUGCUGUUCCAGUGAGACAGAGCAGAGGCUGAUCAGGGAGACUGAGGCCACCUUCCGAGGCCUGGUGGAGGACAGCGGCUCCUUUCUGGUUCACACACUGGCUGCCAGGCACAGAAAAUUUGAUGAUAACCCGGACCCUGGUGGCUGCCCGAGCCUUUGUGCAGGGCCUGGAGACUGGAAGAAAUGUGGUCAGCGAAGCGCUUAAGGUGCCGGUGUCUGAAGGCUGCAGCCAGGCUCUGAUGCGUCUCAUCGGCUGUCCCCUGUGCCGGGGGGUCCCCUCACUUAUGCCCUGCCAGGGCUUCUGCCUCAACGUGGUUCGUGGCUGUCUCAGCAGCAGGGGACUGGAGCCUGACUGGGGCAACUAUCUGGAUGGUCUCCUGAUCCUGGCUGAUAAGCU
Molecule: long non-coding RNA, 767 nt
Filed under: Homo sapiens (human)
Lineage: Eukaryota; Metazoa; Chordata; Mammalia; Primates; Hominidae
Description: non-protein coding lnc-GAL3ST4-2:1
Source: RNAcentral